CUCUGCGAGCCGUAAGAUGAGUGCUAAGCGUUAGGAGGGUUUCCGCGCUUUAGUGCUGAAGUUAACGCAUUAAGCACUCCGCCUGGGGAGUACGGCCGCAAGGCUGAAACUCAAAGGAAUUGACGGGGGCCCGCACAAGCGGGGGAGCAUGUGGUUUAAUUCGAAGCAACGCGAAGAACCUUACCAGGUCUUGACAUCCUCUGAAAACCCUAAAGAUAGGUGCUUCUCCUUCGGGAGCAGACGUGACAGGUGCGUGCAUGGUUGUCGUCAGCUCGUGUCGUGAGAUGUUGGGUUAAGUCCCGCAACGAGCGCAACCCUUGAUCUUAUUUGCCAUCAUUAAGUUGGGCACUCUAAGGUGACUGCCGGUGACAAACCGGAGGAAGGUGGGGAUGACGUCAAAUCAUCAUGCCCCUUAUGACCUGGGCUACACACGUGCUACAAUGGACGGUACAAAGAGCUGCAAGACCGCGAGGUGGAGCUAAUCUCAUAAAACCGUUCUCAGUUCGGAUUGUAGGCUGCAACUCGCCUACAUGAAGCUGGAAUCGCUAGUAAUCGCGGAUCAGCAUGCCGCGGUGAAUACGUUCCCGGGCCUUGUACACACCGCCCGUCACACCACGAGAGUUUGUAACACCCGAAGUCGGUGGGGUAACCUUUUUGGAGCCAGCCGCCUAAGGUGGGACAGAUGAUUGGGGUGAAGUCGUACAAAGGGAAACCGGAACUCUUUGCAGU
This 729-nucleotide ribosomal RNA is filed under the name Bacillus cereus. RNAcentral describes it as "bacterial SSU rRNA". It matches the Rfam family "Bacterial small subunit ribosomal RNA", at positions 791 to 1533 of the family's 1533-position model. Lineage: Bacteria; Bacillati; Bacillota; Bacilli; Caryophanales; Bacillaceae. The record is from RNAcentral.